RNAcentral lists this ribosomal RNA (466 nucleotides) under uncultured bacterium. RNAcentral's name for it is "partial 16S ribosomal RNA". It matches the Rfam family "Bacterial small subunit ribosomal RNA", at positions 29 to 507 of the family's 1533-position model. The record is from RNAcentral.
ACGAACGCUGGCGGCGUGCUUAACACAUGCCAGUCGCACGGAAAGGCCUCUUUCGGGGGGUACUCGAGUGGCGAACGGGUGAGUAACACGUGAGUAACCUGCCCUUGACUUUGGGAUAACUUCAGGAAACUGGGGCUAAUACCGGAUAGGAGCUCCUGCUGCAUGGUGGGGGUUGGAAAGUUUCGGCGGUUGGGGAUGGACUCGCGGCUUAUCAGCUAGUUGGUGGGGUAGUGGCUUACCAAGGCUUUGACGGGUAGCCGGCCUGAGAGGGUGACCGGCCACAUUGGGACUGAGAUACGGCCCAGACUCCUACGGGAGGCAGCAGUGGGGAAUAUUGCACAAUGGGUGGAAGCCUGAUGCAGCAACGCCGUGUGCGGGAUGACGGCCUUCGGGUUGUAAACCGCUUUCGCUCAUGACGAAGCUUUGUGUGACGGUAGUGGGUAAAGAAGCACCGGCUAACUACGUG